UACGGGGGUGGCAAGCGUUGUUCGGAAUUACUGGGCGUAAAGGGCGCGUAGGCGGCCGGACCAGUCGCAGGUGAAAGCCGCGGGCUCAACCCGCGAAGGGCCUGCGAAACAGUUCGGCUUGAGGAUCGGAGGGGAAGGCGGAAUUCCGGGUGUAGCGGUGAAAUGCGUAGAUAUCCGGAGGAACACCGGUGGCGAAGGCGGCCUUCUGGACGAUCCCUGACGCUGAGGCGCGAAAGCCAGGGGAGCAAACGGG
This 253-nucleotide ribosomal RNA is filed under the name uncultured bacterium. RNAcentral describes it as "partial 16S ribosomal RNA". It matches the Rfam family "Bacterial small subunit ribosomal RNA", at positions 524 to 776 of the family's 1533-position model. The record is from RNAcentral.